AGAUAGGUUCAAAGGAUUCUCCAAGGUGGCAGUGUGCAGGUUCUUGUAUAAGUGAGUCAGAACCGUAGGCCCAAGUCCUACAUCAGUGUGGUUGUGCAGUGCUUCUGCCAAGUACUUAUACUCAAGCAGAACUGCUGAAGAACGAUUUGGGAAGAUAAAUCUGUUCUGCCAGUACAGAAGAAACAACGUAUGCUGCUGAUCCUUGUCCUUCUCAG
RNAcentral lists this long non-coding RNA (215 nucleotides) under Prunus persica (peach). RNAcentral describes it as "long non-coding RNA (PPER_LNC006260)". Lineage: Eukaryota; Viridiplantae; Streptophyta; Magnoliopsida; Rosales; Rosaceae. The record is from RNAcentral.